This 428-nucleotide ribosomal RNA is filed under the name Chloroflexota bacterium. RNAcentral's name for it is "Chloroflexi bacterium partial 16S ribosomal RNA". It matches the Rfam family "Bacterial small subunit ribosomal RNA", at positions 355 to 776 of the family's 1533-position model. The record is from RNAcentral. Lineage: Bacteria; Bacillati; Chloroflexota.
UGGGGAAUAUUGCACAAUGGGCGCAAGCCUGAUGCAGCCAUGCCGCGUGUAUGAAGAAGGCCUUCGGGUUGUAAAGUACUUUCAGCGGGGAGGAAGGGAGUAAAGUUAAUACCUUUGCUCAUUGACGUUACCCGCAGAAGAAGCACCGGCUAACUCCGUGCCAGCAGCCGCGUAAUACGGAGGGUGCAAGCGUUAAUCGGAAUUACUGGGCGUAAAGCGCACGCAGGCGGUUUGUUAAGUCAGAUGUGAAAUCCCCGGGCUCAACCUGGGAACUGCAUCUGAUACUGGAAAGCUUGAGUCUCGUAGAGGGGGGUAGAAUUCCAGGUGUAGCGGUGAAAUGCGUAGAGAUCUGGAGGAAUACCGGUGGCGAAGGCGGCCCCCUGGACGAAGACUGACGCUCAGGUGCGAAAGCGUGGGGAGCAAACAGG